CCUGUAUAACUCAGGUUGAUGCGGGAUGUGGCUUUACGGCUGAACCGUUAA
This 51-nucleotide non-coding RNA is filed under the name unclassified sequences. The record is from RNAcentral.